This 52-nucleotide transfer RNA is filed under the name Sphingomonas turrisvirgatae. Its description in RNAcentral is "Sphingomonas sp. MCT13 tRNA". It matches the Rfam family "tRNA", at positions 1 to 50 of the family's 71-position model. From Rfam's summary of the family: Transfer RNA (tRNA) molecules are approximately 80 nucleotides in length. Their secondary structure includes four short double-helical elements and three loops (D, anti-codon, and T loops). The record is from Rfam by way of RNAcentral. Lineage: Bacteria; Pseudomonadati; Pseudomonadota; Alphaproteobacteria; Sphingomonadales; Sphingomonadaceae.
GGGGACUUAGCUUAGUUGGUAGAGCGCCUGCUUUGCACGCAGGAGGUCAGGA